RNAcentral lists this ribosomal RNA (449 nucleotides) under uncultured organism. Its description in RNAcentral is "partial 16S ribosomal RNA". It matches the Rfam family "Bacterial small subunit ribosomal RNA", at positions 331 to 797 of the family's 1533-position model. The record is from RNAcentral.
GUACACUCCUGCGGGAGGCAGCAGUGGGGAAUAUUGGACAAUGGGCGCAAGCCUGAUCCAGCCAUGCCGCGUGAGUGAUGAAGGCCCUAGGGUUGUAAAGCUCUUUCACCGGUGAAGAUAAUGACGGUAACCGGAGAAGAAGCCCCGGCUAACUUCGUGCCAGCAGCCGCGGUAAUACGAAGGGGGCUAGCGUUGUUCGGAUUUACUGGGCGUAAAGCGCACGUAGGCGGACUAUUAAGUCAGGGGUGAAAUCCCGGGGCUCAACCCCGGAACUGCCUUUGAUACUGGUAGUCUUGAGUUCGAGAGAGGUGAGUGGAAUUCCGAGUGUAGAGGUGAAAUUCGUAGAUAUUCGGAGGAACACCAGUGGCGAAGGCGGCUCACUGGCUCGAUACUGACGCUGAGGUGCGAAAGCGUGGGGAGCAAACAGGAUUAGAAACCCAGUAGUCCCA